GAUGAACGCUGGCGGCGUUCCUAAUACAUGCAAGUCGAGCGAACAGACGAGGAGCUUGCUCCUCUGACGUUAGCGGCGGACGGGUGAGUAACACGUGGAUAACCUACCUAUAAGACUGGGAUAACUUCGGGAAACCGGAUCUAAUACCGGAUCAUAUAUGUACCCGCAUGGUCCAAUAGUGAAAGACGGUUUUGCUGUCACUUAUAGAUGGAUCCGCUCCGCAUUAGCUAGUUGGUAAGGUAACGGCUUACCAAGGCAACGAUGCGUAGCCGCCCUGAAAGGGAGAUAGGCCACUCUGGAACUUAGACACGGUCCAGCCUCCUACGGGAGGCAGCAGUAGGGUAUCUUCCGCAAUGGGCGAAAGCCUAACGUAGCAACGCCGCGUGAGUGAUGAAGAUCUUCGGCUCGUAAAACUCUGUUAUUAGGGAAAAACAAAUGUGUAAGUAACUAUGCACGUCUUGACGGUACCUAAUCAGAAAGCCCCGGCUAACUACGUG
This 497-nucleotide ribosomal RNA is filed under the name uncultured bacterium. RNAcentral's name for it is "partial 16S ribosomal RNA". It matches the Rfam family "Bacterial small subunit ribosomal RNA", at positions 28 to 507 of the family's 1533-position model. The record is from RNAcentral.